AUAUAGUAAUUUUGCUUUCUCCGCCAGUCGCCAGUCGCCAGUCGCCAGACGCCAGUCCGCUGUCCGCCUCACUCACUCAGUUCCUCACCCUCAGUCCUCACCCUCAGAAGUCAGACCUCACCAGUUCUCUGCCAGUCCGCCACCGGCCACACGGCUCAAGCAGUCAAGCCCUCACCAGUUCUCCGCCUCACGACUCACGCGGUCACGCCCCCACGACUGAGCCCGUCAAGACUCAGUUUUCUAUAUCUUUUUCCGGCAGAGCAUUGCACUAAGGAUUAUCGAGUGCAUAAGCUUUCAAAUGUGCUUCCAAGUUUAAGCAACACAUUUUCCCUCCACAGAUCUUUCAUCUAACACUUGAAACUGUAAUCUGACCUCUACCUCCUACAUUCCAUGAUCAAUUCAAGAAUCAAACAAGCUAGCACAACUCCCUCAAAACUCAAAAUUAACAACCUUGCACAAUUCAGAACCUCAAUUUUCCCAUCCCAACCAUACCAUAGUCAUCAUCGUUCUCAUAAACCCACCUCAAAAUCCUCACUUGAAAGGCCUCAUAAGCCUACAAAAAACCUACUUCGCAAGCCAAUACCACUACUUGCUAACCUCAAACAAAUCCAAGAUCCUGAUGAAGCUAUUUCACUGUUCCAUGAUUACCAGCAAACCGGGUUCAAACAUGACUACCCUACUUAUGCUUGUCUUAUUUAUAAGCUCGCUAAGUCUCGAGACUUCGAAGCUGUUGAAACCCUUCUUGGGUAUUUAAAAACAUAUUAUAUUCGAUGUCAAGAGAAGGUUUUUGUCGGGUUGAUUCAACAUUACGGCAAAGCCCAGUUGGUUGAUAAAGCUAUUGAGCUUUUUCACAACAUGGCGUCGUUUAAUUGUACGCGUAGUGUACAGUCUUUUAAUGCACUUUUAAAUGUGCUUGUUGAUAAUGGACGUUCUGAUGAUGCAAAUAAGAUGUUAAGGAAUUGUUCGAAAAUGGGUAUUUGGUUAAAUGGUGUUUCGUUUAACAUUAUUAUUAAGAUGUGGCUGGAAAAGGAUGACUGGGAACUGGCACGCCAAGUGUUUGAUGAAAUGAUUGAAAGAGAAAUUGAGCCGACUGUGGUAACUUACAAUUGUCAAAUUGGAUUUUUGUGUAAGAAGGGGGAUGUUGAAGGCGCUAAAAGUUUGUUUCAGGAUAUGGUUAGAAAGGGAAAGAAGCCAAAUGCAGUUUCUUAUGCUUUGUUGAUGGAAGGUUUGAGUUCUUUGGGUAAGUAUAAAGAAGCCAAGAAGUUAAUGUUUGAUAUGGAAUACCAAGGAUGUAAGCUGAAAAUAGUCAAUUAUGGUGUUUUGAUGACUGAUCUUUUAAAACGAGGCGACAUUGGUGAGGCAAAUAGUUUACUCGUGGAGAUGAAAAAGAGGCACAUUAAGCCCGACGUUGUGAUCUAUAAUAUGUUAAUCAAUUAUUUCUGUAAGGAAUGUAAAACUGCUGAAGCGUAUAGGAUAUUAGUUGAUAUGCAAAUUGCAGGUUGCAAUCCUAAUGCAACUACAUAUAGAAUGGUGGUUGAUGGGUUUUGUAAAACAGGAGAAUUUGAGGAAGGUUUGAAGGUUUUGAAUGCAAUGUUGAUUAGCGGGCAUUUUCCGCGUGUAGAAACAGUAAGGUGUAUGAUUCUUGGCCUGCUUGAUAAAGAGAAGGUUGAAGAUGCUUGCUUUGUUUUGGAGGAAAUGGAGAAAAGGAAGAAAAGGUUUGACUUUGAGUCAUGGGAAGCCAUUGUCAAGGAUGCUUGCAGCAAUAGUAUUUUUGUAUAUAGGCUCGUUGAUGAGCUUGUAUUUUAGCUAUUGGACUAUGAAAUAGAUCGCGGCUAGAUCUGUUUUGUGCUCGUCUUGAUGCUAUCUCAGAUGUCCAUUUGGAAAGUUCCAUUGAGCAACCCUACUAAUUUCACAAUAAUUCCCUUCCCUUGCUUGCUUGUAGUCAGUUCCAGUGUCAAGAUUUUUUACUUGGUUUGUGGAGCUGGGCAUGCUUGAUUGGAGCAUUUGGUGUCCGGCUAAACCUCAAAAGGAGUAUGUAAUUUCACCCCUGUUAAGAUGGAGUAGUAGAAAAGAAUACCAUAUACUUUUACCCCCUAAAGAAAUACUGUAAUAGUUCCUACUAUUUCAAAGCGGGAGUAAGGGGCCUCUUUGUCGUCCUGCUUGCCACUCGAAGUUCCUCACCCUCAGUCCUCACCCUCAGAAGUCAGACCUCACCAGUUCUCUGCCAGUCCGCCACCGGCCACACGACUCAAGCAGUCAAGCCUUCACCAGUUCUCCGCCUCACGACUCACGCGGUCACGCCCCCACGACUGAGCCCGUCAAGACUCAGUUUUCUAUAUCUUUUUCCGGCAGAGCAUUGCACUAAGAUUGGAAUUUUGAGCUGUUUGCACUUUGUAUGUGGGCAAUUGAGGUACUGGCCACUGGGUAUGUUUAGUUUGAGGCAAAAAUUUAAUAUUUUUUGGCUUUUCCUUUAGAAUUAUGACUAUAUGAUUAUGGGUGUUGUCAAUAUGUGUUUAAUUUUUCUAUGUGCAGCUUUGAAUUGUUGUUCUAUGUGCAGCUUUGUGACAGUCUUCAAAUGCUUGUAGUUCUGCCACAAGAUCUUGAAUUCUUGAUACUGAAUAGAAGUUUAAAUCUCAUUUUGGAACCUUUAAAAUUGUUACUCAGCUGUAGUUUAACUUUUAGUUUUAUACUGAAACUGGUAUAUUGAGAAUUUCUUUUGUUGGAUUGAAAUCCCCACCCGCUCCUUGGUCCUUACCUUGAAGUGUCAUAUAUAGCAGCUUCCAGUAAACUUUGUACAAAUAUUACUUUGUACAAAUACUAGCGUUCAGCACUCUUAAUUUUAGGUAAUAUCCAGCGUUCAGCACUCUUAAUUUUAGUUUUACCUUAUCGGGUAAACCGAUAACCGAACCGA
Molecule: non-coding RNA, 2911 nt
Organism: Nicotiana tabacum (common tobacco)
Lineage: Eukaryota; Viridiplantae; Streptophyta; Magnoliopsida; Solanales; Solanaceae
Source: RefSeq, a predicted model, not a curated record